GACUACCGGGGUAUCUAAGCCUGUUUGCUCCCCACGCUUUCGCGCCUCAGCGUCAGUUAAUGUCCAGCAGGCCGCCUUCGCCACUGGUGUUCCUCCUAAUAUCUACGCAUUUCACCGCUACACUAGGAAUUCCGCCUGCCUCUCCAUCACUCAAGAAAUACAGUUUCAAGUGCAGUUUAUGGGUUAAGCCCAUAGAUUUCACACCUGACUUGCAUUCCCGCCUACGCGCCCUUUACACCCAGUAAAUCCGGACAACGCUCGCCACCUACGUAUUACCGCGGCUGCUGGCACGUAGUUAGCCGUGGCUUAUUCAUGUGGUACCGUCACUUCUUCGUCCCACAUAAAAGAAGUUUACAACCCGAAAGCCUUCUUCCUUCACGCGGCGUUGCUGGGUCAGGGUUUCCCCCAUUGCCCAAUAUUCCCCACUGCAGCCCCCCGUAGG
Molecule: ribosomal RNA, 442 nt
Filed under: uncultured Oscillospiraceae bacterium
Lineage: Bacteria; Bacillati; Bacillota; Clostridia; Eubacteriales; Oscillospiraceae
Description: partial 16S ribosomal RNA
Source: RNAcentral